Molecule: ribosomal RNA, 394 nt
Filed under: uncultured Actinomycetes bacterium
Lineage: Bacteria; Bacillati; Actinomycetota; Actinomycetes
Description: bacterial SSU rRNA
Rfam family: Bacterial small subunit ribosomal RNA
Source: RNAcentral
GAGUUUGAUCGUGGCUCAGGAUGAACGCUGGCGGCGUGCUUAACACAUGCAAGUCGAACGGUGAAACAGGAGCUUGCUCCUGCGGAUCAGUGGCGAACGGGUGAGUAACACGUGAGCAAUCUGCCCUGGACUCUGGGAUAAGCGUUGGAAACGACGUCUAAUACCGGAUACGAGCUGCGAAGGCAUCUUCAGCAGCUGGAAAGAACUUCGGUCCAGGAUGAGCUCGCGGCCUAUCAGCUAGUUGGUGAGGUAACGGCCCACCAAGGCGACGACGGGUAGCCGGCCUGAGAGGGUGACCGGCCACACUGGGACUGAGACACGGCCCAGACUCCUACGGGAGGCAGCAGUGGGGAAUAUUGCACAAUGGCGCAAGCCUGAUGCAGCAACGCCGCGU